UGGUCAAGUAUUGGCUGAAGGUGGCCGCU
This 29-nucleotide non-coding RNA is filed under the name Mus musculus (house mouse). The record is from RNAcentral. Lineage: Eukaryota; Metazoa; Chordata; Mammalia; Rodentia; Muridae.